Non-coding RNA from Oncorhynchus mykiss (rainbow trout), 1635 nucleotides. The record is from RefSeq and is a predicted model, not a curated record. NCBI's taxonomy places the organism in Eukaryota, Metazoa, Chordata, Actinopteri, Salmoniformes, Salmonidae.
UUGUCGGUUUUUAUAGGCCUUUAGGCUACAAUAGAAAAAUCCAAAAGAACACGCAAUAUGUCUGUCGCUGGAAAUGAAAUAAUAGACGCACAUAACUUGGCUUGACAAACAGGAUAAUAUCUAUAUUUCAUCAUAAACCAGUUAGUACAGUACUACAAUGCACCUUGCCCAGGAACCUCCUGUGAAAGGUGUGAACCAAUUCCGACCAAGCAAAGCAAAAAACGGGGCGCGGCACAGUCAAGACAAGAGAAGAUAUGGUUUCGCAACUUAACCCACAGCAUUGUGGGAAUUUGACGUUGCCAGUCCCUAUGUACCGGUUUUACGCAAGAAUGUAGUUAACAUAUUUUCCCUCAACUGUUGUCCUUACUGUCACAUUGCAGCUUCACGAUGGUGUGUCAGCCGGACAUCAUCUUUAACUUUGAGAAGGCAUACUUCAUCCUGGAUGAGUUCCUGGUGGGAGGAGAGAUCCUGGAGACCUCCAAGACAGCUGUGGGCAUCGCUAUGGAGGAGGCAGAGACAUUACAAGAGGUGACCCACACACAGUCACUUAAGUGUGACACACUUGCCCAAAUAUUUCAAUAUGUUUCUUCUGUUCUCUCAACAGACAAUGGACAAUAUGAGUAAACCGACCUACUGAACCAAUAACAGGGAAGUGAGUCGAAUCUUAAGACCGAAGAAUCCUUUUCUCAAUAAGUGCCACAACAUUUCAAAGAAGAUUUAUUCUUAAGAUACUCUUCCAUUCAGACAGAAUACAUGGUCUGUUUUAUAUAUGCACUUUCUAAUAUUAUUAGUUUUUUUUUUUUUUUACUUUUUACUCCUUUUUCUCCCGAAUUGGUAGUUCCAGUCUUGUCCCAUUGCUGCAACUCCCGUACGGACUCGGUCAAGAGCCAUGUGUCCUCUGAAACACGACCCCUCCAAGCUGCUUCUUGACCCAGCCGCACCAAUGUGUCGGAGGAAACCGUGUACAACUGGCGACUGUGUCAGCGUGUGUGCUCUCGGCCCGCCACAAGGAGUCACUAGAGUGCGAUAGGACAAGGACAUCCCGGCUGGCCAAACCCGGAUGACGCUGGGCCAAUUUUGUGCCGCCUUAUGGGUCUCCCGGUUGUGGCCGGCUGCAACACAGCUCGGGAUUGAACCCGGGUCUUUAGUGACGCCUCAAGCACUGCGAUGCAGUACCUUAGACCGCUGCACCACUCGGAAGGCCCCUAUAAGCACUUUCUGAAAGAUGCAUUAGGAGUUUUAUAAUUCAGGAGUUCAUUUUAAAACACAGUUUAACUUUGAGAUUUAUUUUUAAAUGUGUUAUUAGUUAAAACUAUUUUAUUUAUUACAAAUUUGAUGAGAUCACAUAUGUUUUACAGUAAUUGUAGCCUGCUUUGCUUUAUCUGAUUUUUAAGCAAAUAUGUUAUUUUAGCAUAUUGCUGCUGCAUUUUCAAAUGUUUUAAUUCAGUUGUGAGUUGACUAACAUAGCCACUGACUGCACAAACGUGAUAGUGCCUUAUUGUAAUAUGUCUCAGUUGGCAAGCUAGAGCCAGAGGGUUCUAAGAUUGAAGCUAAAGGUUAACAUUUUGGAAAGUGAUGCCUACUCAGUGCCGUUAAAGCUGUACUGUCUGAAUAAAUAGUUUUGUUUCCAGAAUA